Molecule: non-coding RNA, 73 nt
Organism: Parelaphostrongylus tenuis
Lineage: Eukaryota; Metazoa; Nematoda; Chromadorea; Rhabditida; Metastrongylidae
Source: the annotation of a GenBank genome assembly
GCGUCGGUGGGGCAACGAUUUAGCACAUGCCCUCAAAAAGAGUAAAAUCUGGGUUCGAAUCCCGACUGACGCA